This 354-nucleotide ribosomal RNA is filed under the name uncultured Actinomyces sp. Its description in RNAcentral is "bacterial SSU rRNA". It matches the Rfam family "Bacterial small subunit ribosomal RNA", at positions 360 to 729 of the family's 1533-position model. Lineage: Bacteria; Bacillati; Actinomycetota; Actinomycetes; Actinomycetales; Actinomycetaceae. The record is from RNAcentral.
AAUCUUCGGCAAUGGGGGCAACCCUGACCGAGCAACGCCGCGUCGACGGUUGACGGUAGCCGGGGUAUGAAGGCUCUGCUUUGUGGGUGGGGUUGACGGUAGCCGGGGUAUGAAGUGCCGGCUAACUACGUGCCAGCAGCCGCGGUAAUACGUAGGGCGCGAGCGUUGUCCGGAAUUAUUGGGCGUAAAGAGCUCGUAGGCGGCUGGUCGCGUCUGUCGUGAAAUCCUCUGGCUUAACUGGGGGCGUGCGGUGGGUACGGGCCGGCUUGAGUGCGGUAGGGGAGGCUGGAAUUCCUGGUGUAGCGGUGGAAUGCGCAGAUAUCAGGAGGAACACCGGUGGCGAAGGCGGGUCUC